CUUCAUAUAUCAAUUAUCACGGUACUCAAGUACAUCCACAUUGGUAUUUCAUUUUCUUUUGGUCUCUGACUUUACCUUUUUCAUCAUUCAAUCUCUUUAUGUGUAUAUAAUAUAUGUCUAGAGAUCACUGACUUCCACAGAUUAUAGCGUAUGGCAGAUUGUCUUUUAAACCUUAACUUUUACUCAGCUACUUAGCCCACUGAUGUAGUAUAUUGGCUUCUUGCCGUUUCCUAAUAUCUCACUUAGUUUUGACCUUUUGAAUUUUAGUCCCAUCGAGAUUUCUAGAGAUUUUAGUCUGUUUAAUAAUUUAUGUACCUCAGUUGUUGCACUUGCAGCUAAUGUCUAUCACAGAGAUCUGAAGCCAAAGAACAAACUGGCAAAUGAAAACUGUAAAAUCAAGAUUUGUGAUUUUGGAUUAGGAAGGGGUUUCAUUAGUGAUAGCCCCACAUAAAUCUUUUGAACGGUAUGGUGAACAAGAUGUCUCUCUAAGAGUCUUUCUCUUCUCCUCAAGUAAGUUUGUAUAUUCUCAAACCUUAUUCUCUAUUAAAUUUACUGAACUAUGUUGCUAUUAGAUAGUAUACAGCUCCACUACUUUGUGGAUGUUUCCGUUCCAAGUUGCUUCUCUAUAAAGCCUUUCUUUCAAUUUUUGUAUUACUGCCAACUAAUUUUGGUGGAUUUGGAUUUGUAGUAUACACCCGCCAUUGAUAUAUGGAGUAUAGGCUGCAUCUUUUCCGGAGUAUUAGUGAGAAAUCCACUUUCCCUGGAAAGAAUGUGGUUCACCAGAUGGAUCUUAUGACUGAUCUGCUGGGGAAACCUUCCAUGGACACCAUCGCCCGGGUACUGAUCUUCUUAGACAUAAGGUUUUGAGGUUCUGCAAAAUCGUAAAAGCAUGGACCAAUGACGAGUACCCUGAUUUUACAAUAUUAUACAUGUAAGGAAUGAGAAGGCAAGGUGGUACUUAACAAGCGUAGACAUCUCAAGCGCAGAGUAGACCUCUCAUGAAACAGAGUCUCUCAAAGGAAGGAAACAUGAGGAGAUCAAAUUAGGAUUAGACCUCUCUUCUUUCAUAGUGCAGGCAUAUCAAGCGCAAUUCUUCAUAGUUCAUACUAAAGACAAAAUAUUUGCAGAGAUUUCUGAAUCGUUGGACGUGAACUGUCGUAUUACAUAUAAGGAUCAAGAGGCAUGGCGGAAACGUCCGCUUUCUCUGGUUAAGAUUAAGACAACAUGGGAUAUACUUGGCGCGAAGCUUACAUGGAGAGAAUCGAAACGGACGGUGGUUAUUCGUUCUUAUUCUUGGAUCUCUAAAGAAAGAAGAAACAUCCUUUUUUUAUUUAAUCCCAAGUUCACAACUUCUUAUCAGAUCUGUGAAAGCGGUGGGAAAGUGGGUUUGGUGGUUAAGGGCAAGAGAGUCUGUUUUGGUACUAUCUUCAGUUCGUUCCUCUGUUCGAGGUUUACACUCUUGCAGGAAUGGUGUUCUCGCCAAACUCGAGAGGUAUCACGAUUUGGGACCUUGGUUCUAUCGUGGUAUUAAUAAUUCCGGGCUUGGUGGUUCUUCCAUGAUGUUGUCCUCGGUCUGUGUCAGGCCAAACUGGUUCCGUCAUCACUGUCUUUUUGAAUCACAAGGCAACUUUCUACUUGAACUCUUUAAGAUGUCAUGGAGUUUAUUAAAGUAAGCUGAGGCUGCUUCAACACAAAAUGGAGAACUUUAACAAGACACAUAUUACGAUUGUAGCAUAGAGGGAAACACAUCAACUUGGCAAUUGAGCAAUUUAAAGCACUGUAAGAAUGACAUGUUCCUACAUCUUAUAGUCAAUUUCAGUAUGUUUUUCAGUGUCCGGACUUAUAGUAUUAUAGGGAGUUUAGCUUGUGCUCACUUACAAAUGAAAAACAUACAUGUUUGGGUUGUUUUCUUCGGGUCUUAAUGAUGUCUCUCAUCACUGUUUUUGAUAUUAAGAUGAUCCUUUUUU
Brassica napus (rape) is the source of this 1967-nucleotide long non-coding RNA. RefSeq lists it as uncharacterized. Lineage: Eukaryota; Viridiplantae; Streptophyta; Magnoliopsida; Brassicales; Brassicaceae. The record is from RefSeq and is a predicted model, not a curated record. The transcript has 2 exons.